AUCAUUACAGAGUUAUCCAACUCCCAAACCCAUGUGAACUUAUCUCUUUGUUGCCUCGGCGCAAGCUACCCGGGACCUCGCGCCCCGGGCGGCCCGCCGGCGGACAAACCAAAACUCUUGUUAUCUUAGUUGAUUAUCUGAGUGUCUUAUUUAAUAAGUCAAAACUUUCAACAACGGAUCUCUUGGUUCUGGCAUCGAUGAAGAACGCAGCGAAAUGCGAUAAGUAAUGUGAAUUGCAGAAUUCAGUGAAUCAUCGAAUCUUUGAACGCACAUUGCGCCCAUUAGUAUUCUAGUGGGCAUGCCUGUUCGAGCGUCAUUUCAACCCCUAAGCACAGCUUAUUGUUGGGAACCUACGGCUUCGUAGUUCCUCAAAGACAUUGGCGGAGUGGCAGUGGUCCUCUGAGCGUAGUAAUCUUUUAUCUCGCUUCUGUUAGGUGCUGCCCCCCCGGCCGUAAAACCCCCAAUUUUUUCUGGUUGACCUCGGAUCAGGUAGGAAUACCCGCUGAACUUAAGCUUAA
Molecule: ribosomal RNA, 518 nt
Filed under: Nigrospora sp. ADH2_7
Lineage: Eukaryota; Fungi; Ascomycota; Sordariomycetes; Amphisphaeriales; Apiosporaceae
Description: eukaryotic LSU rRNA
Rfam family: 5.8S ribosomal RNA (bases 163-316)
Source: RNAcentral